AGUGAACGCUGGCGGUAGGCCUAACACAUGCAAGUCGAACGGCAGCACAGUAAGAGCUUGCUCUUACGGGUGGCGAGUGGCGGACGGGUGAGGAAUACAUCGGAAUCUACUUUUUCGUGGGGGAUAACGUAGGGAAACUUACGCUAAUACCGCAUACGACCUACGGGUGAAAGCAGGGGAUCUUCGGACCUUGCGCGAUUGAAUGAGCCGAUGUCGGAUUAGCUAGUUGGCGGGGUAAAGGCCCACCAAGGCGACGAUCCGUAGCUGGUCUGAGAGGAUGAUCAGCCACACUGGAACUGAGACACGGUCCAGACUCCUACGGGAGGCAGCAGUGGGGAAUAGUGGACGAUGGGCGCAAGCCUGAUCCAGCCAUACCGCGUGGGUGAAGAAGGCCUUCGGGUUGGAAAGCCCUUUUGUUGUGAAAGAAAAGCAGCAGGUUAAUACCCCGCUGUUCUGACGGUACCCAAAGAAUAAGCACCGGCUAACUUCGUG
This 492-nucleotide ribosomal RNA is filed under the name uncultured bacterium. Its description in RNAcentral is "partial 16S ribosomal RNA". It matches the Rfam family "Bacterial small subunit ribosomal RNA", at positions 29 to 507 of the family's 1533-position model. The record is from RNAcentral.